UACAUGGGGUGCAAACGUUGCUCGGAAUUAUUGGGCGUAAAGCGCACGUAGGCGGUUUGUUAAGUCGGAUGUGAAAUCCCUCGGCUCAACUGAGGAAGUGCACCCGAAACUGGCAGGCUUGAGUACUAAAGAGGGUCGCGGAAUUCCCGGUGUAGUGGUGAAAUGCGUAGAUAUCGGGAGGAACACCAGUGGCGAAGGCGGCUUCCUGGCCUGUUCUUGACGCUGAGGCGCGAAAGCUAGGGGAGCAAACGGG
Molecule: ribosomal RNA, 253 nt
Filed under: uncultured bacterium
Lineage: Bacteria
Description: partial 16S ribosomal RNA
Rfam family: Bacterial small subunit ribosomal RNA
Source: RNAcentral